GAUAAACAAGCAGUUCAAACACUAAAGCUGGAGAGAUACUGAGAAAAUUAGCAUGACCCCUGAUGCAAGAAUGAUAUACAAAACUGUGAAAGUGCUCCUCUUUGU
This is a small nuclear RNA of Polypterus senegalus (gray bichir), 105 nucleotides long. The record is from RefSeq and is a predicted model, not a curated record. Lineage: Eukaryota; Metazoa; Chordata; Cladistia; Polypteriformes; Polypteridae.